Molecule: ribosomal RNA, 418 nt
Filed under: uncultured Methanosaeta sp.
Lineage: Archaea; Methanobacteriati; Methanobacteriota; Methanomicrobia; Methanotrichales; Methanotrichaceae
Description: bacterial SSU rRNA
Rfam family: Archaeal small subunit ribosomal RNA
Source: RNAcentral
AAUCUUACCGGGACCGACAGCAAUAUGAAGGCCAGGCUGAAGACUUUGCCGGAUUAGCUGAGAGGUGGUGCAUUGGCCGUCGUCAGUUCGUACUGUGAAGCAUCCUGUUAAGUCAGGCAACGAGCGAGACCCACGCCCACAGUUGCCAGCGUACUCUCUGGAGUGACGGGUACACUGUGGGGACCGCCGCUGCUAAAGCGGAGGAAGGAAUGGGCAACGGUAGGUCAGUAUGCCCCGAAUAUCCCGGGCUACACGCGAGCUACAAUGGUUGGUACAAUGGGUAUCUACCCCGAAAGGGGACGGGAAUCUCCUAAAACCAAUCUUAGUUCGGAUUGAGGGCUGCAACUCGCCCUCAUGAAGCUGGAAUCCGUAGUAAUCGCGUUUCAACAGAACGCGGUGAAUACGUCCCUGGCUCCUU